This 650-nucleotide small RNA is filed under the name Pan troglodytes (chimpanzee). Its description in RNAcentral is "processed transcript". The record is from RNAcentral. Lineage: Eukaryota; Metazoa; Chordata; Mammalia; Primates; Hominidae.
GAAAAUGCAGCUGGCUUCUUUCCUGGAAGAUCCUCAGUAUCAAGACCAACAUUCUUUGCAUACAGAGAUCAUAAAAACAUUUGGUAGAGUUGGCCCUAACGCAGAACCCAGGUUCCGAGAUGAGUGUCAGUUUUAGAAUUAGCCUGUCUAAGUUAGGCAUGGUGCCACGUGUCUAUAGUCCCAGCUACUCAGAAGCUGAGGUGGGAGGAUCACUUGAAGCCAGGAGUUCAACACCAGCCUGAGCAACACAGCAAGAUAAGUCCCUACAAAAGAUGUUUAAAAAUUAGCUAGGCAUGGUGGCACGUAUCUGUAGUCCAUCAACUCGGGAGGCCAAGGCAGGAAGAUCACUUGAGUCCAAGUGUUUGAGGCUGUGGUGCACUAUGAUUGCACCUGUGAAUAGUCAUUGCAUUCCAGCCCAACCAACAGAGCAAGACCCCAUCUCUUAAUAAAAAAGAAAGAAUGAUAUCCAUCUGGGUUAUUAUUAAAUCAUCUCCUGGUCCUUCAUCUCCUACUGCUUUUAACCAUCUGUCUACAUCUGAGGGGUUAACUGUUAAGUGAAUUAAUUAAUACAUAUGUGGUAGCCCAGGACAAUAUGUGUGUAGUGAAAUCUGAAUUCUAUAGUAAAGUUCUGUCUGUCUUCCUGAGAAUUA